RNAcentral lists this ribosomal RNA (513 nucleotides) under uncultured bacterium. Its description in RNAcentral is "partial 16S ribosomal RNA". It matches the Rfam family "Bacterial small subunit ribosomal RNA", at positions 28 to 523 of the family's 1533-position model. The record is from RNAcentral.
GAUGAACGCUGGCGGCGUGCCUAAUACAUGCAAGUCGAGCGAACAGACGAGGAGCUUGCUCCUCUGACGUUAGCGGCGGACGGGUGAGUAACACGUGGAUAACCUACCUAUAAGACUGGGAUAACUUCGGGAAACCGGAGCUAAUACCGGAUAAUAUAUUGAACCGCAUGGUUCAAUAGUGAAAGACGGUUUUGCUGUCACUUAUAGAUGGAUCCGCGCCGCAUUAGCUAGUUGGUAAGGUAACGGCUUACCAAGGCAACGAUGCGUAGCCGACCUGAGAGGGUGAUCGGCCACACUGGAACUGCGACACGGUCCAGACUCCUACGGGAGGCAGCAGUAGGGAAGCUUCCGCAAUGGGCGAAAGCCUGACGGAGCGACGCCGCGUGAGUGAUGAAGGUCUUCGGAUCGUAAAACUCUGUUAUUAGGGAAGAACAAAUGUGUAAGUAACUAUGCACGUCUUGACGGUACCUAAUCAGAAAGCCACGGCUAACUACGUGCCAGCAGCCGCCGUAA